AUCUAAAUAGCUUAUGCAAAGCAUCACGUUGAAGUUGUGGGGAAGACAUGUAUUGUUUUUAGAUG
This 65-nucleotide transfer RNA is filed under the name Typhlopatsa pauliani. RNAcentral describes it as "tRNA-Phe". The record is from RNAcentral. Lineage: Eukaryota; Metazoa; Arthropoda; Malacostraca; Decapoda; Atyidae.